GCCGGUAUAGCUCAGUUGGUAGAGCACCUGAUUUGUAAUCAGGGGGUCGCGGGUUCGAGCCCUGCUGCCGGCACCA
Molecule: transfer RNA, 76 nt
Filed under: Devosia nitrariae
Lineage: Bacteria; Pseudomonadati; Pseudomonadota; Alphaproteobacteria; Hyphomicrobiales; Devosiaceae
Description: tRNA-Thr
Rfam family: tRNA
About the family: Transfer RNA (tRNA) molecules are approximately 80 nucleotides in length. Their secondary structure includes four short double-helical elements and three loops (D, anti-codon, and T loops). Further hydrogen bonds mediate the characteristic L-shaped molecular structure. tRNAs have two regions of fundamental functional importance: the anti-codon, which is responsible for specific mRNA codon recognition, and the 3' end, to which the tRNAs corresponding amino acid is attached (by aminoacyl-tRNA synthetases). tRNAs cope with the degeneracy of the genetic code in two manners: having more than one tRNA (with a specific anti-codon) for a particular amino acid; and 'wobble' base-pairing, i.e. permitting non-standard base-pairing at the 3rd anti-codon position.
Source: RNAcentral